UGCAACUCGCCUGCAUGAAGCUGGAAUUGCUAGUAAUGGCAGGUCAGCAUACUGCCGUGAAUACGUUCCCGGGCCUUGUACACACCGCCCGUCACACCAUGAGAGUUGGAAAUACCCGAAGCCUGUGAGCUAACUUAAAGAGGCAGCAGUCGAAGGUAGAGCCAAUGAUUGGGUGAAGUCGUAACAAGGUACC
RNAcentral lists this ribosomal RNA (193 nucleotides) under uncultured bacterium. RNAcentral's name for it is "partial 16S ribosomal RNA". It matches the Rfam family "Bacterial small subunit ribosomal RNA", at positions 1306 to 1500 of the family's 1533-position model. The record is from RNAcentral.